UACGUAGGGGGCAAGCGUUAUCCGGAAUUACUGGGUGUAAAGGGAGCGUAGACGGUGAUGUAAGUCUGGAGUGAAAGGCGGGGGCCCAACCCCCGGACUGCUCUGGAAACUGGAGGACUGGAGAGCAGGAGAGGGCGGUGGAACUCCAUGUGUAGCGGUAAAAUGCGUAGAUAUAUGGAAGAACACCAGUGGCGAAGGCGGCCGCCUGGCCUGUUGCUGACGCUGAGGCACGAAAGCGUGGGUAUCGAACAGG
This 253-nucleotide ribosomal RNA is filed under the name uncultured bacterium. RNAcentral's name for it is "partial 16S ribosomal RNA". It matches the Rfam family "Bacterial small subunit ribosomal RNA", at positions 524 to 776 of the family's 1533-position model. The record is from RNAcentral.